GUUUUUCUCCUGGUUUUCACUGUAGGCCUGUAUGUGCUAUUGCAGAUUUCAUAAGGCACGCGGUGAAUGCCAAGAGCGAACGA
Non-coding RNA from Anopheles epiroticus, 83 nucleotides. Lineage: Eukaryota; Metazoa; Arthropoda; Insecta; Diptera; Culicidae. The record is from Rfam.